UACGUAGGGUGCAAGCGUUAAUCGGAAUUACUGGGCGUAAAGCGUGCGCAGGCGGUUAUGUAAGACAGAUGUGAAAUCCCCGGGCUCAACCUGGGAACUGCAUUUGUGACUGCAUAGCUAGGAGUACAGAAGGGGCAACUGGAAUUCUCGGUGUAGCGGUGAAAUGCGUAGAUAUCGAGAGGAACACCUGCGGCGAAGGCGGGUUGCUGGGCUGAUACUGACGCUGAGGCGCGAAAGCCAGGGGAGCGAACGGG
This 254-nucleotide ribosomal RNA is filed under the name uncultured bacterium. RNAcentral's name for it is "partial 16S ribosomal RNA". It matches the Rfam family "Bacterial small subunit ribosomal RNA", at positions 524 to 776 of the family's 1533-position model. The record is from RNAcentral.